UUAUUCGCUCGCUCGAACAGACACGCACGAACCGCUCGGUCAUAUCUCCCCUGCCCCUCGCGUUCUCCCUCUGGAAACCCUCAGCGCCGUCGUCCCGCCGCCACGCCCGGCCCCCUCGGUCGCCGGCCGGAUUCUCUCCAUCGACUCCAGAUCCGGCCGUCCCAGCUAGUUCCUCACCGAUUCCCGUCCUCACAGCCACGAGUACCGCCGUCAGCGAGGAACAGCGCCGUGGGGGAAGGAGGAGCUCACCCCCACACCAUUGAUGCCAGCAAGGAGCAGCGCCGGUGGGGGAAGGAGGAGCUCAGCGAGGAGCAAUGCUGGUGAGCAAGGAGGAGCAUCCCGACGACCAAGCCCGUCGCCCAAAGCGCAAUCACAAUGAAGGCAGCAGCGCCGUGCAGCCGGUGGCAAGGUGUUGUAGAGGAGCACGCGGAGCCAAGGUUGGGGGCACACGCUGAGGAGGACCGCAACGUUGCCGCUGUAUAGACAUGAACUAGCUACCGCAAUGUUCAUGUCUUUAGAUGUGAGACCAUUUUGAUUUGCAAACUUAUGCAAAUGAAACUCGUUUACUACAGAAACUUUUGUUGUAUGACAUAUAACAAAACUAGUUAUUCGUCAUUAUUAUGACUUGUCUUAACUUGAAAUAUUUGUGGCAUGUUCAAAAAUA
Long non-coding RNA from Triticum aestivum (bread wheat), 664 nucleotides. RefSeq lists it as uncharacterized. The transcript has 2 exons. The record is from RefSeq and is a predicted model, not a curated record. NCBI's taxonomy places the organism in Eukaryota, Viridiplantae, Streptophyta, Magnoliopsida, Poales, Poaceae.